Molecule: ribosomal RNA, 443 nt
Filed under: uncultured bacterium
Lineage: Bacteria
Description: partial 16S ribosomal RNA
Rfam family: Bacterial small subunit ribosomal RNA
Source: RNAcentral
CCUACGGGAGGCAGCAGUGGGGAAUAUUGGGCAAUGGAGGCAACUCUGACCCAGCAACGCCGCGUGAGUGAUGAAGGUCUUCGGAUUGUAAAACUCUUUAAGUGGGGACGAAGAAAGUGACUGUAGCCACAGAAUAAGCCUCGGCUAACUACGUGCCAGCAGCCGCGAUAAUACGUAGGAGGCAAGCGUUAUCCGGAAUGACUGGGCGUAAGGGGGGCGUAGGGGGUGUGGCAAGUGAGUAGCGUAAUGCCGGGGCUCAACCUCGGAACUACUACUAAAACUGCUUGGCUUGAGUGCAGGAGGGGCAUAUGGAAUUCCUAGUGUAGCGGUGGAAUGCGUAGAUAUUAGGAGGAACACCAGUGGCGAAGGCGAUAUGCUGGACUGUAACUGACACUGAGGCACGAAAGCGUGGGGAGCAAACAGGAUUAGAUACCCUUGUAGUC